This 63-nucleotide microRNA precursor is filed under the name Bombyx mori (domestic silkworm). RNAcentral describes it as "mir-2774 microRNA precursor family". It matches the Rfam family "mir-2774 microRNA precursor family". The record is from Rfam by way of RNAcentral. Lineage: Eukaryota; Metazoa; Arthropoda; Insecta; Lepidoptera; Bombycidae.
ACAACAUUGGAACCGUCGGUCUACUGAGCAAUAUCACCGGCUCUGUGCAAGAUCUUUUGUCGU